Molecule: ribosomal RNA, 859 nt
Filed under: Sciadicleithrum bravohollisae
Lineage: Eukaryota; Metazoa; Platyhelminthes; Monogenea; Dactylogyridea; Dactylogyridae
Description: eukaryotic LSU rRNA
Rfam family: Eukaryotic large subunit ribosomal RNA
Source: RNAcentral
CAGGACAAUGUGGUGUUUAAGCUUGUACCUGGAGCCGCCAACCUACCCGAAGUCCAACUCCGAUUGUGGCUUGGAUUGUGCCCAUAGCGGGUGAUAGGCCCGUACGGGUAGGUUAUAUUGUUUUAGCGGUUCUCAGAUGUACUUGCUUUCGAGUCGGAUUGCUUGAGAAUGCAGUCCAAAGUGGGUGGUAAACUCCAUCCAAGGCUAAAUACUGGCACGAGUCCGAUAGUAGACAAGUACCGUGAGGGAAAGUUGAAAAGUACUCUGAAGAGAGAGUAAACAGUACGUGAAGCCGGUUGCAGGGAAGCUGGUGGAGUCAAGCUUCAUGCUUGAAGGAUUUGUAUCAGCAGCAUUGGUUGUAUGGAUGCGAUAGUGAUCAACUUGAAAUAAGUUGGGCGCAUUCGUGUGCUUCAAGUCAUUCCGGGUUGUGUGUUUGAUAUCACUAUCGCUUUUCAGCUGCUGGUACUCUAUCCUUCGUUGCAUAAAUCAUGGUCGAUAGCAUUGUUUGCGUGUUACGUGAUUGUCUAACUGUACUUUGGCAGGCAUUUGUUUGUCGGGUGCAGGAUGGCAGGUUGCGGCUACAGAUCCUUGUGUUCUGUUUGUCGCUUAUAGUGGUUUCGACCAGCUGAUGAUCAUGUAAUAUCGCUGCUAUUGUUUUUGAUUAGUGCUCAGUCCUAGGACUCUGUGCUGGUUAGAACCAUGAUUCUGAGGUAGAUUUUCCACCCGACCCGUCUUGAAACACGGACCAAGGAGUUUAACAUGCGCGCAAGUCACUGGGCUUAUUAUGAAACCCAAAGGCGCAAUGAAAGUGAAAGGCUUUCAGUCCUGGUGUGAUUCUAGUUUGCUUUAACAAGGCGGC